CGUAAAGGUGCAUGAGUGGUGUUUGGUUUGUUACGGGUGGUUGGCUGUCUGCUUGCGCAGCAACGUCCAUGCGUGCAUACCUCUUCAGUUUUGUGGCAAGACUUGGUUUGUCUUGAUCAUAUUGUGGGUUUCUUGUGUUGCAUACCUAAUCGAUGGUAAUGUGUUGGUUUUAUGACGUUCCUUUUCGUCAUGCAUCGCUCAUGCGACGUGGGAUGAACCUUGAAGCGGUCUUUGUGAUCCAUAUUGUUGUUGCAUUUGCAACGAUGAUGUGGCUUAUGAAGCAUCGUUUGGUCUCUUGCUUACGGAACUUGAUGUGGGCAUGGGUUCUUUAAGGAUCCUGAAUUUGCCCUCGUUAAGCUUUUGGCUUCUCUAAAACGAUUCCUUACCAUGU
RNAcentral lists this unclassified non-coding RNA (391 nucleotides) under Plectocephalus varians. Its description in RNAcentral is "partial external transcribed spacer". The record is from RNAcentral. Lineage: Eukaryota; Viridiplantae; Streptophyta; Magnoliopsida; Asterales; Asteraceae.